This 862-nucleotide ribosomal RNA is filed under the name uncultured soil bacterium. RNAcentral describes it as "bacterial SSU rRNA". It matches the Rfam family "Bacterial small subunit ribosomal RNA", at positions 60 to 904 of the family's 1533-position model. The record is from RNAcentral.
AGUCGAACGCGAAAGUGGAGCAAUCCAUGAGUAGAGUGGCAAACGGGUGAGUAACGCGUGGGCGACCUGCCUUCGAGUGGGGGAUAACAUUCCGAAAGGGAUGCUAAUACCGCAUAACAUCCUUCGUUUAGAUACGAGGCGAUCAAAGCUGGGAGCAAUCCUGGCGCUUAAAGAGGGGCCCGCGUCCGAUUAGCUAGUUGGUGGGGUAACGGCCUACCAAGGCUUCGAUCGGUAUCCGGCCUGAGAGGGCGGACGGACACACUGGAACUGAGACACGGUCCAGACUCCUACGGGAGGCAGCAGUGGGGAAUUGUUCGCAAUGGGCGCAAGCCUGACGACGCAACGCCGCGUGGAGGAUGAAGACCUUCGGGUCGUAAACUCCUUUCGACCGAGAAGAAUGGCUCCCGACCUAAUACGUCGGGAGCAUGACGGUAUCGAGGGAAGAAGCCCCGGCUAACUCUGUGCCAGCAGCCGCGGUAAUACAGGGGGGGCAAGCGUUGUUCGGAAUUACUGGGCGUAAAGGGUUCGUAGGUGGCCAACUAAGUCAGACGUGAAAUCCCUCAGCUUAACUGGGGAACUGCGUCUGAUACUGGAUGGCUUGAGUGCAGGAGAGGAAUGCGGAAUUCCAGGUGUAGCGGUGAAAUGCGUAGAUAUCUGGAGGAACACCGGUGGCGAAGGCGGCAUUCUGGACUGCAACUGACACUGAGGAACGAAAGCCAGGGGAGCAAACGGGAUUAGAUACCCCGGUAGUCCUGGCCCUAAACGAUGAAUGCUUGGUGUAACGGGUAUCGAUCCCUGUGGUGCCGAAGCUAACGCAUUAAGCAUUCCGCCUGGGGAGUACGGUCGCAAGGCUGAAACUCAA